Molecule: long non-coding RNA, 3554 nt
Organism: Zea mays
Lineage: Eukaryota; Viridiplantae; Streptophyta; Magnoliopsida; Poales; Poaceae
Exons: 2
Source: RefSeq, a predicted model, not a curated record
GCCUACAAAACCACUCGGCCUGGAUCUGGAGCAGAGAGAAGGGACGCGAGGACUCUCUUUGAGAUUUCACGAUCCUCACGAAACCGCCUUUCCGCUACCUACAAAACCCCAAGGCCUGCAAUCCUGCAUCUGGGUUUUGGAAAGGAAACCCUCGCCCUACCUAUUCGUGGGAACCGGCCAUCUCAUGAUCCGUCACCCAGCAGCUUCUUACCCACUUCUUCGCCGUUUACUGCAGCAAACAUCUGAUUUGGGAGAUUAUGGGUGCUAUUUCCUAUCUCUCAUCUUAUCUAUCGCAUGACAGGUAAAUCUGCGGCGCCCUCGAUUGUCGAUUCGGCCGGGGGUGCAGAAAUCCGAUGAUAACCUAUUAUUCCAGAUUCCAUGAAGUGCGCGUGAAAGUUACAAACAUAUCUCGAGGAAUCAGCUUUCUAAAGCACGCGUUCUGACUUCUGAGUUACUUUGUUUUGGUAUGUUUCUUGGUGAUAUUGACUAUUGAGGGCCUGGAUCUAUGCGCUCGUAGAAAUGCCUAAUCUCUUGUAAAUAGGUUGUGGUUUCAACCUCAUUUCCGAGCUGACUAGAUGGUCGAUUUAUUUUUAUGGGGGCUAUUCUAAUCCGUCAGCCUGAUGAUUAGCAUUCUUUGCACAAAAAACGGAGAUCUGAAUGUGCUUUCCGUCGAAGCCUGCUUGACCGCUGUGGUGGGUCAUGUGAGCUCAGCUCGUUGAUCUCCCUGACUACUACCUCCGUGGCUCCGUUCCAAAUUAUAAGUAAUUUUCUCUCAGGGAAACUACCAGCUACUACACACACAUGCAUGCAUCUAUCUGUCUAUCUAUAUAUAUAUAUAUAUCCUCGCCCUUCUUCCACCACUGACUGGCUGAGCAGGCUCCGGGAGAUGCAUAUGUAGAUGCAAGAGUUAUGAAGGCUAUCCCAGAUUGGAUUGCGGUGCCUAAAUUCAUUUUUAACUUGUUUAACGAGUUCUUUAUCACUAUCUGAAAAGCUGUUCCUAUUAUAGAGUACUGCAAUGCACCGUGGUCUGCUUGUGAUUUGGUCAGCAUCACAUUAAUGAUUUUGCUUUAGCUUGACUGAUAUUCGAGGUACAAAAUGCAGUAUUUAACCCUAUGGACAAAACUGGAAGAUUAUGUGAAUUAAAGAAAGUUGCAUCUGCUGUGCUCCUGGUUCAUGGGGGCACAAUGGCAUGAUGACUAUCUAGGGGAAUCUCUGAUGCUAAUGCUAAUACAAAUUUUCUUAUCUAGCUUACACGGUGGAUAGGUUAAUGCGUGUAGAACCAUGCUAGUGAUAGAUAUCCUUUGAACCUGGAGUAAAGCAUUUUAUAUGCUUAUUUACGGCCAUAAAAGUUUUCUGGCAUCUCAUAUGUGACUGAGAUAAGCCAUUUUAGCUUGGGUGUUGGUUGCCUGGAAUUAAGUCACUAUCUGUUGAUCCUUUCCUUUCAGAAACAUGUUUGGUUUGUGUGUUGUCAUAUUUUUGCCACUUCACCGCAUAAGAAAAAUGUCAGAUAGUGAGAAGAUUGAAGAAAGACAAGAACAUCUGCAGUGUUGCCAAUUCAAUCUUGCGAUGCAAAAGUAUGAUGACUUGGGGAAUCUACAGCAAUCUUUUUGGAAGAGUUAUGUUUUGAGUCUGCAUGAGUUGCCAUCACAACAAUUGACUGCAUGAAAACAGUAAUAGCAAGAAACAGGACAAGGACAUCUUCAGUGUUCCCAGUAUCAGGGAAGUAACUGCAUGAUCACUGUCUUGGGGAAUCUCUGUUUCCAAUAUCAGAUUCGACUUAUUUUCUUGCAAGUUGUCUCUUCUCUUGUGAUCAUGUUUGGCUUUCUGUUCUUUGAUCAUGUUUGGCUUUCUGCUCUUUUGAAGCUUGGCUUGUCCAGUGUUGCCUAUCAUAUUCCAAAUAUCAGACCAUUCUUAUUUACUUCGACCAUCCUGGCUGAGAGCGCUUUGACAAGUAUCCCUGAUGUACAAUUGCAUUUUGUGCUAAAAGAAGAUUAUUUGUGAAAGCAUGAGUCCACUCCACUUGCAAAAACGCCAAUGCAUAGUACCUUGAAUUUUUUUUUGAGUUUCUGUUCAUUUUGGAGGCAAAUAGUUCAAUGGUUCGGUUUUGUUAUGGGGUAGUCAUUUUGAUAUACCAGCCUGAUGAUUAUAGUGUUUGCAUUAAGAAUGGAGAUCUGAAUGCAUUUAUCCCGUUGAAGCCCGCUUGGCCACUGCUGCCGCUGCUGGUACUACUACUGCCUUCUCUGGUGCUGAUGCUGCUGCUGCUGCUGCUGCUGUACUACUACUACCUUCUCGGCCAUCGUCGUCGUUGUUUGUCCAUCUCCCUGUGCUUCCCCCUCUCUCUGGCUGCUUGCUUGAUGCCUGCAUCCGUAUGGAUGUGUGUGAUUCUGUGAACCAAGCUGGGCUCCGGGGAAUGCAUAUGCAGAUGCAAGGCUUAUGAAGGCUUGGCACAAAUGCCCCCUACCGAACAAUUUUGCCAUGUAAAAGUAGUAUCUCUAUAUGGUUGGUGUCUUUACUCUCGUUUUUUUUUGGCAACCCUGUUUGCUGAAUUGUUGCCCUUAACUGCAAUGUCAGUGAUCUCUAAUUUCACCGUUUAUUCUUAGGCUUAUGAAACAAAUGUGGAAAAGUUGUGUAUUGUUAGAUGUUCUCUUCCAUCUCGAUUUGGAUCUUAAUUUACAUGUCCAUAGUGGUCGAUGAUUCAAGGUUUUUUUUUUUGAAGUAGACGAGUGAUUUGGAAUGGCAACAUAGGGCCUGUUUGGCAUGGCUCCAGAGCAAAACUCCAAGGAGGAGCUGGCCAGAGCAUGCCAAACACCCUAACUCCAGAGUUAUAAACUCUAUGGAGUUUUUGGAGCUGCAGUACAAUUUUUUGGAGUACCUCUUUUGCUGCUCUGAAAACUCCAAAAAAAACAACCUAGUCAUGGAGUUUUGAGUUAUUUACCCGCCAUUGCCACUAGUUAUGAGAAACAAUCUAAACUCUGGAGCAGAGCUGCUCCACCCAGAGUUUAGUAGAGCUGCUCUGGGGUGGAGCAGAGCCAUGCCAAACACACCCAUAGUCAGGUACCCUGCUUUGCAAUCAAGGUGAGACGAAAUGAACUUUUAUGAUCAUUCAUUUAAUAGAUGGACGUUGAGGGUAGGCCUUUACCGAAUGUCUCAGAAUCAGCUAAUCUUAACCAUUUUGUGAUUUAUUUCAGGAGCAACCACUUUAUAUUUCCUGAAGGUCACUAAUGCAGGUCAAAAGUGGAAUAGAAGAAGAUUCGGCUUAAAUGCGCAUAUGAGGCACGUUGGCAAGAAAACGAAGAAAGGACUCACCAACAUGUGCACCAAGGCUUUGAGAGAAAAAGACGAUGAUGCCGCUAGUAGAUUCUAUGGUUGAAUGUAUAGGGUUUGAGGUCAUGGUUGUAACUUCACACAAAGUUGUACGAUGGGGUGUCCCUAACUCCCUGUAAAUAGGUAAACAACCCAUAUACAGGCAAGCUCGAGAUACCUGAAGAACUUGCUUGUGUAAUUUCGAACGCUCAACUUUUAAAGUUUUAGAACAUUUGGAUACUUCAUUAUCC